CUCUACAACCCUUUGUGAACAUACCUAUAACUGUUGCUUCGGCGGGUAGGGUCUCCGUGACCCUCCCGGCCUCCCGCCCCCGGGCGGGUCGGCGCCCGCCGGAGGAUAACCAAACUCUGAUUUAACGACGUUUCUUCUGAGUGGUACAAGCAAAUAAUCAAAACUUUUAACAACGGAUCUCUUGGUUCUGGCAUCGAUGAAGAACGCAGCGAAAUGCGAUAAGUAAUGUGAAUUGCAGAAUUCAGUGAAUCAUCGAAUCUUUGAACGCACAUUGCGCCCGCCAGCAUUCUGGCGGGCAUGCCUGUUCGAGCGUCAUUUCAACCCUCAAGCUCUGCUUGGUGUUGGGGCCCUACAGCUGAUGUAGGCCCUCAAAGGUAGUGGCGGACCCUCCCGGAGCCUCCUUUGCGUAGUAACUUUACGUCUCGCACUGGGAUCCGGAGGGACUCUUGCCGUAAAACCCCCAAUUUUCCAAAGGUUGACCUCGGAUCAGGUAGGAAUACCCGCUGAACUUAAGCAUAUCAAUAAGCGGAGGAAAAGAAACCAACAGGGAUUGCCUCAGUAACGGCGAGUGAAGCGGCAACAGCUCAAAUUUGAAAUCUGGCCCUAGGCCCGAGUUGUAAUUUGCAGAGGAUGCUUUUGGUGCGGUGCCUUCCAAGUUCCCUAGAACGGGACGCCAGAGAGGGUGAGAGCCCCGUACAGUUGGACACCAAGCCUUUGUAAAGCUCCUUCGACGAGUCGAGUAGUUUGGGAAUGCUGCUCAAAAUGGGAGGUAUAUUUCUUCUAAAGCUAAAUACCGGCCAGAGACCGAUAGCGCACAAGUAGAGUGAUCGAAAGAUGAAAAGCACUUUGAAAAGAGGGUUAAACAGCACGUGAAAUUGUUAAAAGGGAAGCGCUUGUGACCAGACUUGCGUCCGGUGAAUCACCCAGCUCUCGCGGCUGGGGCACUUCGCCGGCUCAGGCCAGCAUCAGCUCGCUGUCGGGGACAAAAGCUUCAGGAACGUAGCUCUCUUCGGGGAGUGUUAUAGCCUGUUGCAUAAU
This 1038-nucleotide unclassified non-coding RNA is filed under the name leaf metagenome. RNAcentral's name for it is "partial contains internal transcribed spacer 1, 5.8S ribosomal RNA, internal transcribed spacer 2, and large subunit ribosomal RNA". The stretch from base 477 to 1038 matches the Rfam family "Eukaryotic large subunit ribosomal RNA", at positions 1 to 574 of the family's 3401-position model. The record is from RNAcentral.